GGCACCUGGGAGUCCCACAGGCACCAGCGGUCCUGUCUGCGGUCCCAGGGCUGUUAGCUGCAAAGCCCCGGGAGGAAAAGAUAACACGAUGGAGAUUCAGAGAGGCAGCAGAGCCUGGAUUCCGUCCAGGCUUCAGGAUGUGCCAGCCGCACAGAGGGAGAGAGGGAGGAGCAGACCCCCCCACCAACGAGAGGAGUG
Long non-coding RNA from Suricata suricatta (meerkat), 198 nucleotides. RefSeq lists it as uncharacterized. NCBI's taxonomy places the organism in Eukaryota, Metazoa, Chordata, Mammalia, Carnivora, Herpestidae. The record is from RefSeq and is a predicted model, not a curated record. The transcript is spliced from 3 exons.